This 254-nucleotide ribosomal RNA is filed under the name uncultured bacterium. Its description in RNAcentral is "partial 16S ribosomal RNA". It matches the Rfam family "Bacterial small subunit ribosomal RNA", at positions 524 to 776 of the family's 1533-position model. The record is from RNAcentral.
UACGUAGGGGGCGAGCGUUGUCCGGAUUUAUUGGGCGUAAAAGGCUUGUAGGUGGCCACGUCAAGUCGGAUGUGAAAUCUCCCGGCUCAACUGGGAGGGGUCAUUCGAUACUGGCGGGCUCGAGGCCGGUAGGGGGAAGCGGAAUUCCCGGUGUAGUGGUGAAAUGCGUAGAUAUCGGAAGGAACAUCAGUGGCGAAAGCGGCUUCCUGGACCAGCACCGACGUUCAGGCACGAAAGCGUGGGGAGCAAACAGG